This 459-nucleotide ribosomal RNA is filed under the name uncultured bacterium. Its description in RNAcentral is "bacterial SSU rRNA". It matches the Rfam family "Bacterial small subunit ribosomal RNA", at positions 32 to 501 of the family's 1533-position model. The record is from RNAcentral.
AAUCAACGCUGGCGGCGUGCCUCAGACAUGCAAGUCGAACGAUUAAAGCUCUCUUCGGAGAGUGUAUAGAGUGGCGCACGGGUGAGUAACACGUAAGUAAUCUACCUUCGAGUGGGGAAUAACGUCCGGAAACGGACGCUAAUACCGCAUAAUGCAGCGGCAUCGCAAGAUGACAGUUGUUAAAGAUUUAUCGCUUGAAGAGGAGCUUGCGGCAGAUUAGCUAGUUGGUAAGGUAAUGGCUUACCAAGGCUACGAUCUGUAACCGGUCUAAGAGGACGGUCGGUCACACUGACACUGAAUAACGGGUCAGACUCCUACGGGAGGCAGCAGUCGGGAAUUUUGGGCAAUGGGCGAAAGCCUGACCCAGCAACGCCGCGUGAAGGAUGAAGUAUUUCGGUAUGUAAACUUCGAAAGAAUGGGAAGAAUAAAUGACGGUACCAUUUAUAAGGUCCGGCUAAC